Molecule: ribosomal RNA, 482 nt
Filed under: Cenococcum geophilum
Lineage: Eukaryota; Fungi; Ascomycota; Dothideomycetes; Gloniales; Gloniaceae
Description: eukaryotic LSU rRNA
Rfam family: 5.8S ribosomal RNA (bases 170-323)
Source: RNAcentral
CCGUAGGUGAACCUGCGGAAGGAUCAUUACAGAAAGUAAACGCGGAUCAGACCGCGAACUUCUAAACCUUUGACGAUUGACUCAUGUUGCCUCGGCGGGUUCUCCCGCCAGAGGAUACGUCAAAACUCCUGUUUUAACGGUGUUGUCUGAGCUACAAGCAACGAAUCAAAACUUUCAACANCGGAUCUCUUGGUUCUGGCAUCGAUGAAGAACGCAGCGAAAUGCGAUAAGUAGUGUGAAUUGCAGAAUUCAGUGAAUCAUCGAAUCUUUGAACGCACAUUGCGCCCCUUGGUACCCUGAGGGGCAUGCCUGUUCGAGCGUCAUUUCACCACUCAAGCCUGGCUUGGUGUUGGGCGACGUCCCCUUUGGGGACGCGCCUCGAAACGCUCGGCGGCGUGGCACCGGCUUUAAGCGUAGCAGAAUCUUUCGCUUUGAAAGUCGGGGCCCCGUCUGCCGGAAGACCUACUCGCAAGGUUGACCUC